GAUAAGAAGGCUCAGUGGUCAGAGUGCUUGAAUGGUUUUCAAGAAGCGCAGGUUCAUAUUCUGCUACAAUCC
Molecule: transfer RNA, 72 nt
Filed under: Heliconius melpomene (postman butterfly)
Lineage: Eukaryota; Metazoa; Arthropoda; Insecta; Lepidoptera; Nymphalidae
Description: tRNA HMEL004044
Rfam family: tRNA
About the family: Transfer RNA (tRNA) molecules are approximately 80 nucleotides in length. Their secondary structure includes four short double-helical elements and three loops (D, anti-codon, and T loops).
Source: RNAcentral